Hermetia illucens (black soldier fly) is the source of this 420-nucleotide long non-coding RNA. RefSeq lists it as uncharacterized. Lineage: Eukaryota; Metazoa; Arthropoda; Insecta; Diptera; Stratiomyidae. The transcript is spliced from 2 exons. The record is from RefSeq and is a predicted model, not a curated record.
UAUUUUUUAUAUCCGUGAAAUUUUCUUUGUUGCGAAACGCACCACCAGGUAAAUCAUAAAAUCUAUACAAGAGAGAAAAUGUGAGGACAUCUAAUUUUAUUAGCCAUUUGAAGCUGACGCUACUUAAAAGUAGUUUUUUUCCGUGAAAUUUUUCGCCACUCGUUCACUUGCACUCAUAACAAGUUCGUAUUUUGACGGUUAUCUCUGGAAUUUUUUUUUUUUCGCCGAAAAUAAUGAGAAAAGCAAUUUUUAGGCUCUACAAAUUAGUUGAGAUAGUGAAUUCCGAAGCGCUAUCACGUGAAAAUUAAAUUUCAAUUUGUUGCGCCUCAAGCAUGACGGAAAACAUCAUCAACAAUUCAGUUAAUACUAUUGUGUGUGCAUGUAACAGUAUGUGCUAAAUACAAUUCAUUGAAACCUCAA